CUUGGUUUCGACGGGGAUGAUAGAAUCGGGAGCAGCGAGCCGUGGAUCGCACGGUACCACGUAAAAAAACCGGCAAUUAAACACAAACGCAAACGAAAAUUACGCUUUAGCUGCGUAAUUAACGCAGCUCGUUCAACUCGGGCGUCCCGCAGUCCGGGAUUGGGCGUCAUCCUAGCGGGGAACUGUCCGUCCUAAGAGUUGCGGCCGGAUGGAACACAUGACUCUACCAAAGCCCUGAUCCUGUCAUUGGGAGCUGGGUGGAGGGAAUUUUAAAACAAUGACUGCGCUCGGAGAGGUUCCCGGUGAUAUAUUUCCGGACGUGGGUUCGAUUCA
Molecule: transfer-messenger RNA, 333 nt
Filed under: Clostridiales bacterium
Lineage: Bacteria; Bacillati; Bacillota; Clostridia; Eubacteriales
Rfam family: transfer-messenger RNA
About the family: Bacterial tmRNA, also known as 10Sa RNA or SsrA, is named for its dual tRNA and mRNA-like properties. Its role is to liberate the mRNA from a stalled ribosome.
Source: RNAcentral